This is an unclassified non-coding RNA of Sarcophilus harrisii (Tasmanian devil), 298 nucleotides long. It matches the Rfam family "Metazoan signal recognition particle RNA". Rfam says of the family: The signal recognition particle (SRP) is a universally conserved ribonucleoprotein. It is involved in the co-translational targeting of proteins to membranes. Lineage: Eukaryota; Metazoa; Chordata; Mammalia; Dasyuromorphia; Dasyuridae. The record is from Ensembl.
GUUGGGCACGGUAAUGGCAAAUGCCUGUAAUCCCUGCUAAUGGGGAGACUGAGGCCCACUGAUCUCUUAAGCUCAGGAUCUUCUGAGCUGCAGAGGGCCAGGAUAAUUGAAUGACUGCAAUAAGUCUAACAUUAAUAUAGUAAGCCUCAGGAAGAGGGGCCAGCAGAUUGCUAAGGAGGAACAGUCUGGCCCAGAUCAGAAAUGGAGCAGGUCAAAACUCCCAUGCUGAUUAGUAAUGGAACCAACCCAUAAGUAAUCUUUGCAGUUACACUCUGUGCAAGAAGGAAGACAGUUGGAU